Molecule: long non-coding RNA, 433 nt
Organism: Cydia fagiglandana
Lineage: Eukaryota; Metazoa; Arthropoda; Insecta; Lepidoptera; Tortricidae
Exons: 2
Source: RefSeq, a predicted model, not a curated record
UUAUAUGUACAAGUGAUGUUUUAUUGUAACAAGCCGUUGUGUCGCGAGUUUACUUCUUGUCAUCGUGUCAUUAGUAAUAAUUUUGUAAUGGUAUUUAUUUUAUGCAUGGAACAAUGCGAUGGUUAUUAUACUCGAUCACCUAGCCAACCUACUUACUACGAGGAAGGAUGGUUCACAAAUUAGGCAGUAUUUAAAUACCAGUGUACAGAUCCUGAAAGUACCAUCAUUAGCCACUGUUAUUGUUGAAUAACUCCAGGCUUUGGAAGAAAAGCUGUGGCCUGUGAACAGCUGUGAAUAUUGGUCAGAGAAAUGUAACUGACUCCGUACACUGCAAGUCCCAGCAGGAAAUCAGCAAGAAACCUAAAAGAAAAAAAACAUCAAAAUGAAAACCUAGCUUGAUUUAGGUUGAAGUAAUAAAAUUGUUCUAAUUUAA